This 111-nucleotide ribosomal RNA is filed under the name Acaryochloris thomasi RCC1774. Lineage: Bacteria; Bacillati; Cyanobacteriota; Cyanophyceae; Acaryochloridales; Acaryochloridaceae. The record is from RNAcentral.
UGGUGCCUAUGGCAUUGUGGACCCACUCCGAUCCAUCCCGAACUCGGUUGUGAAACGCAAUAGCGGCAAAAAUACUUGGGGAGUAGUCCCCUGGGAAAAUAGCUCGGUGCC